GUUUAUGGCCAUGCUACUCUGAAUGUGCCCUAUUUUGUUUGAUUUCAGAAGAUAAGCAGGGUCAGACCUGGUCAGUACUUGAAUGGGAGACCCCCUAGGAGUAGCAGGUGCUGUAGGCG
This 119-nucleotide ribosomal RNA is filed under the name Pteropus vampyrus (large flying fox). Lineage: Eukaryota; Metazoa; Chordata; Mammalia; Chiroptera; Pteropodidae. The record is from RNAcentral.